This 199-nucleotide ribosomal RNA is filed under the name uncultured bacterium. Its description in RNAcentral is "partial 16S ribosomal RNA". It matches the Rfam family "Bacterial small subunit ribosomal RNA", at positions 328 to 539 of the family's 1533-position model. The record is from RNAcentral.
ACGCUCGACACCUACAGGAGGCAGCAGUGGGGAAUAUUGCACAAUGGGGGAAACCCUGAUGCAGCGACGCCGCGUGAGCGAAGAAGUAUUUCGGUAUGUAAAGCUCUAUCAGCAGGGAAGAAACUGACGGUACCUGACUAAGAAGCACCGGCUAAAUACGUGCCAGCAGCCGCGGUAAUCUGAGGCGGGCUGGCAAGGC